RNAcentral lists this ribosomal RNA (330 nucleotides) under Macrococcoides caseolyticum. Its description in RNAcentral is "bacterial SSU rRNA". It matches the Rfam family "Bacterial small subunit ribosomal RNA", at positions 1050 to 1381 of the family's 1533-position model. The record is from RNAcentral. Lineage: Bacteria; Bacillati; Bacillota; Bacilli; Caryophanales; Staphylococcaceae.
UGUCGUCAGCUCGUGUCGUGAGAUGUUGGGUUAAGUCCCGCAACGAGCGCAACCCUUAUCUUUAGUUGCCAUCAUUAGGUUGGGCACUCUAGAGAGACUGCCGGUGACAAACCGGAGGAAGGUGGGGAUGACGUCAAAUCAUCAUGCCCCUUAUGAUUUGGGCUACACACGUGCUACAAUGGAUGGUACAAAGGGCAGCAAAACCGCGAGGUCAAGCAAAUCCCAUAAAACCAUUCUCAGUUCGGAUUGUAAUCUGCAACUCGACUACAUGAAGCUGGAAUCGCUAGUAAUCGUAGAUCAGCAUGCUACGGUGAAUACGUUCCCGGGUCU